Molecule: ribosomal RNA, 391 nt
Filed under: uncultured bacterium
Lineage: Bacteria
Description: bacterial SSU rRNA
Rfam family: Bacterial small subunit ribosomal RNA
Source: RNAcentral
GACGAACGCUGGCGGCGUGCUUAACACAUGCAAGUCGAGCGGGUAAGGCCCUUUCGGGGGUACGACGAGCGGCGAACGGGUGAGUAACACGUGGGUGACCUGCCCUUAGCUCUGGGAUAAGCCUGGGAAACUGGGUCUAAUACCGGAUAUGACUCCAUGACGCAUGUUGUGGGGUGGAAAGCCUUGUGCGGCUAGGGAUGGGCCUGCGGCCUAUCAGCUUGUUGGUGGGGUGAGGCCUACCAAGGCGACGACGGGUAGCCGGCCUGAGAGGGCGACCGGCCACACUGGGACUGAGACACGGGCCCAGACUCCUACGGGAGGCAGCAGUGGGGAAUCUUGCGCAAUGGGCGAAAGCCUGACGCAGCGACGCCGCGUGGGGAUGACGGCCUGG